This 472-nucleotide ribosomal RNA is filed under the name uncultured bacterium. Its description in RNAcentral is "bacterial SSU rRNA". It matches the Rfam family "Bacterial small subunit ribosomal RNA", at positions 1 to 522 of the family's 1533-position model. The record is from RNAcentral.
UUAGAGUUUGAUCAUGGCUCAGAGCGAACGCUGGCGGCAGGCUUAACACAUGCAAGUCGAGCGGGCGUAGCAAUACGUCAGCGGCAGACGGGUGAGUAACGCGUGGGAACGUACCUUUUGGUUCGGAACAACACAGGGAAACUUGUGCUAAUACCGGAUAAGCCCUUACGGGGAAAGAUUUAUCGCCGAAAGAUCGGCCCGCGUCUGAUUAGCUAGUUGGUGAGGUAACGGCUCACCAAGGCGACGAUCAGUAGCUGGUCUGAGAGGAUGAUCAGCCACAUUGGGACUGAGACACGGCCCAAACUCCUACGGGAGGCAGCAGUGGGGAAUAUUGGACAAUGGGCGCAAGCCUGAUCCAGCCAUGCCGCGUGAGUGAUGAAGGCCCUAGGGUUGUAAAGCUCUUUUGUGCGGGAAGAUAAUGACGGUACCGCAAGAAUAAGCCCCGGCUAACUUCGUGCCAGCAGCCGCGGUA